Molecule: non-coding RNA, 292 nt
Organism: Caenorhabditis elegans
Lineage: Eukaryota; Metazoa; Nematoda; Chromadorea; Rhabditida; Rhabditidae
Source: Ensembl
GUAUAUAUUACACACAUGGGUUUCGCCACGAGGACUACGAAUCACAGUAACCCGUGGCUGCUCCCACAAGACCGUUCAAGUAAACUAAAUGCACAAAUUGCUGUCAAGACCCAUGGGCGCAAGAAAAGGUGAACAAUUUCAUCGAAUAAGUAAUACUAUGUGUUGCACCAUGUGUUUUAUUUUGAGAGAGCCACAUUUUUCUAUAAUUUUUACACAUAAAAUUUGAGCUUUUGUAAGUAAAAACUAGCAACCUCAAACUCUAGUUUACAAGUUAUAAAACUUUGUGUCUUCA